RNAcentral lists this ribosomal RNA (255 nucleotides) under uncultured bacterium. RNAcentral describes it as "partial 16S ribosomal RNA". It matches the Rfam family "Bacterial small subunit ribosomal RNA", at positions 524 to 776 of the family's 1533-position model. The record is from RNAcentral.
UACGGGGGGAGCAAGCGUUGUUCGGAUUUACUGGGCGUAAAGGGCGCGUAGGCGGUCGUGACAAGUCACUUGUGAAAUCUCCGGGCUUAACUCGGAACGGUCAAGUGAUACUGUCGGACUAGAGUACAGAAGGGGCAACUGGAAUUCUCGGUGUAGCGGUGAAAUGCGUAGAUAUCGAGAGGAACACCUGCGGCGAAGGCGGGUUGCUGGGCUGAUACUGACGCUGAGGCGCGAAAAGCCAGGGGAGCGAACGGG